RNAcentral lists this ribosomal RNA (909 nucleotides) under uncultured archaeon. RNAcentral describes it as "bacterial SSU rRNA". It matches the Rfam family "Archaeal small subunit ribosomal RNA", at positions 44 to 957 of the family's 1478-position model. The record is from RNAcentral.
UUAAGCCAUGCGAGUCAAAUGUUCUUCGUGAACAUGGCGUACUGCUCAGUAACACGUGGAUAACCUGCCCUUAGGACUGGCAUAACCCGGGAAACUGGGGAUAAUUCCGGAUAGUUCAUGGUAGCUGGAAUGCUCCAUGAUCGAAAGCUAUUGCGCCUAAGGAUGGGUCUGCGGUCUAUCAGGUAGUAGUGGGUGUAAUGUACCUACUAGCCGACGACGGAUACGGGUUGUGGGAGCAAGAGCCCGGAGAUGGAUUCUGAGACAUGAAUCCAGGCCCUACGGGGCGCAGCAGGCGCGAAAACUUUACAAUGCGGGAAACCGCGGUAAGGGGACACCGAGUGCCAGCAUCUUAUGUUGGCUAUCCGCAUGUAUAAAUCACAUGUGUUAGCAAGGGCCGGGCAAGACCGGUGCCAGCCGCCGCGGUACACCGGCGGCCCGAGUGGUGGCCACUAUUAUUGGGUCUAAAGGGUCCGUAGCCGGUUUGGUCAGUCUUCCGGGAAAUCUGACGGCUUAACCGUUAGGCUUUCGGGGGAUACUACCAGGCUUGGGACCGGGAGAGGUAAGAGGUACUACGGGGGUAGGAGUGAAAUCUUGUAAUCCUCGUGGGACCACCAGUGGCGAAGGCGUCUUACCAGAACGGGUCCGACGGUGAGGGACGAAAGCUGGGGGCACGAACCGGAUUAGAUACCCGGGUAGUCCCAGCCGUAAACUAUGCUCGCUAGGUGUCAGGGACGGUGCGACCGUUUCUGGUGCCGCAGGGAAGCCGUGAAGCGAGCCACCUGGGAAGUACGGUCGCAAGGCCGAAACUUAAAGGAAUUGGCGGGGGAGCACUACAACGGGUGGAGCCUGCGGUUUAAUUGGACUCAACGCCGGAAAACUCACCGGGGGCGACAGCAAUAUGUAGUCAAG